RNAcentral lists this ribosomal RNA (253 nucleotides) under uncultured bacterium. Its description in RNAcentral is "partial 16S ribosomal RNA". It matches the Rfam family "Bacterial small subunit ribosomal RNA", at positions 524 to 776 of the family's 1533-position model. The record is from RNAcentral.
UACAGAGGUCUCAAGCGUUGUUCGGAUUCAUUGGGCGUAAAGGGUGCAUAGGCGGCGCGGUAAGUCGGGUGUGAAAUCUCGGAGCUUAACUCCGAAACUGCAUUCGAUACUGCCGUGCUUGAGGACUGGAGAGGAGACUGGAAUUUACGGUGUAGCGGUGAAAUGCGUAGAUAUCUGGAGGAACACCGGUGGCGAAGGCGGCGUUCUGGACUGCAACUGACACUGAGGAACGAAAGCCAGGGGAGCAAACGGG